RNAcentral lists this ribosomal RNA (1482 nucleotides) under Triticum aestivum (bread wheat). RNAcentral's name for it is "partial small subunit ribosomal RNA". The record is from RNAcentral. Lineage: Eukaryota; Viridiplantae; Streptophyta; Magnoliopsida; Poales; Poaceae.
AUGGGGACGGCAGCCGCCGCCGCCCCUGCAGGCGGCGACCGGCUGAGCAACCUUCCGGACAGCCUCCUGCACAGCGUGCUCUCGUCCCUCCGGUCACGGCAGGCGGUGCACACGAGCCUGUUGUCGCGGCGGUGGAGGCACCUGUGGCGCGCCGUGCCGUGCGUCGACGUCGACCAUCGCGACUUCUUUGACGAACCGCAACCUGUUGCCCCGGGCCAUGGCGCUUCCGACGCGGCCAUGGGCGCCUUCAGAGAAGCGCAGAGGAAGAGGGCCGCCAGGGAGAAGAAGCAGUGGCGCGUCAUGGAGGACUUCGCGGACGCCGUCCUUCCCCUCAACGGCGCGUGGCCCCUCGACGCCUAUCGGCUGCACGUCCGCGACGACCUGCAUCUCCGCAAGGCCAUGGACCGCUGGAUCCGCCGCGGCCUCGCGCGCGGCCCGGCCGAGCUCGGCGUCGCCUUCGACUACGACCACCAUGGCGCCGGUUACAACAGCUGCUGGAAGGAACCUCCGGCGUUUGGCUUCAGCAUCUUCGACGGCGCCGUCACCGGCCGCCUAAGGAGGCUGUCCCUCUCCGGACUGGUCCUGCUGCAGGGAUUCCCGGAGGAGCUGAGAUCCGACUGCCCUCUCCUGGAAGACCUGCGGCUCGUCAACUGCCAGUGCAUUACGCAGUUCCUCCCGGGCAACAGGCGCAACAUCAUCCGGAUCGGCUCCCGCUCCCUCAAGAGGUUGGUUAUCGAGGGCAUGUCCAGCCCGCACCACCGGCUGUGCCUCACCGCUACCGCCCUUGUUUCCUUGAACAUCGACACGCCGGUCGCCGUGGAGGAUGAGAUGCGGUCCCUCGCCGUGGCGUCCGUCUCAUGCCAUGCCGGUGCACUCCUUCUCUUGAAAUCGCUCCGCAGCGCCACAGCUUUGGAACUGAGGAGAUUCACCACACGGGCAUUGGUCGAGGAGGAACCGGAACUAUUCCGAGAGCACCAUAACCUGAGGACGUUGGUCCUGACUGAAUGUGACAUCGGGGAUGGAUGCCAGGUUGUGGCGCACGUGCUAAAGAGCAUCCCGAAUCUGGAGAGACUCGUGCUGCAAGAUUGCAUGAUCUCAGGGAGUUGCAUGAUGGCCAGCCGCCGAGGGGCAGCACUCCGUGGUUGCUGCGAGAACCUCAAAUCGAUACGGGUCAAGUAUGAAGGGCACGAUGUCGUUCAUGCCCCGAUUGCCGCAUUAAGGGGGAAAUCAAAGGAUGCGGUCAAGCUACACCGCGGCGAAAGACCAACCAGUUCCGUUGAGUGGCACCACUGGCUGAAGCGUAUCGCCUUGUGCAGCAACCAUGCAAUUCAUCUCAGCCAGCGAUAUGUAGCUUCCAUCACCACUGGGCCUGAGUCCGAUGAGGAGCACGAGUCCACUGCAUGGAAGCACCGCGCCAGCAAGAAGCAUGCGAGGGACAUCGCCAUCAAGGCACGCCGAAGGGGGCGCCUUGCCCGGUUCUGA